AGCAGGGUAGAGCAGUUGGCAUGCUCGCCAGGCCCAUAACCUGGAGGUCGGAGGUUCGAGUCCUCCCCCUGUUA
RNAcentral lists this transfer RNA (74 nucleotides) under Treponema sp. Its description in RNAcentral is "tRNA-Met". It matches the Rfam family "tRNA". From Rfam's summary of the family: Transfer RNA (tRNA) molecules are approximately 80 nucleotides in length. Lineage: Bacteria; Pseudomonadati; Spirochaetota; Spirochaetia; Treponematales; Treponemataceae. The record is from RNAcentral.